Molecule: ribosomal RNA, 305 nt
Filed under: uncultured bacterium
Lineage: Bacteria
Description: bacterial SSU rRNA
Rfam family: Bacterial small subunit ribosomal RNA
Source: RNAcentral
GUGUCCUACGGGGGGCAGCAGUCGGGAAUAUUGCGCAAUGGAGGAAACUCUGACGCAGUGACGCCGCGUGCAGGAAGAAGGUUUUCGGAUUGUAAACUGCUUUAGACAGGGAAGAAACAAGACAGUACCUGUAGAAUAAGCUCCGGCUAACUACGUGCCAGCAGCCGCGGUAAUACGUAGGGAGCAAGCGUUAUCCGGAUUUACUGGGUGUAAAGGGAGCGUAGACGGUGCAGCAAGUCUGAUGUGAAAGGUCGGGGCCCAACCCCGGGACUGCAUUGGAAACUGUUGAACUGGAGUACAGGAGG